Long non-coding RNA from Herpailurus yagouaroundi (jaguarundi), 1488 nucleotides. RefSeq lists it as uncharacterized. Lineage: Eukaryota; Metazoa; Chordata; Mammalia; Carnivora; Felidae. The transcript has 3 exons. The record is from RefSeq and is a predicted model, not a curated record.
AAUUAUAGAAUCUUGUCAUUCACUGAUUAUAGUAUCCAAUAAGGAAUCCUGCUGAUGCUAAGAGAUACUGAUAAAAAAUGUUAUUUCACGGGAGUAUAGAUGAUUACCAACUUACAGAGCCUUCAUUUGCGACUGUCUUCUCUUAGAAUUUUCUUACUAUAAAUUAGGUCCCCACGAUAAAGCCCAGGGUUGGUUGUUAACCUCUACAGCCAAAUCAGAUAGGAUGCUUCUCUGAACCCUGAACCAGUUGAGGUCUGAAGCAGCUGACUCAGCCUGCGGUUGUGCUGGGGACUAAUAACAUUAGCAAUAAUGCCCGGAAACUUAGCCAGUGCCCUGUGUGUGAGUGUGCAUCCCCUUCGGAACAAUCCUCAAAGCCUGAGGGAUGGUUUAAUUGCCAUGAUCUUAUUCACGGAGGCUUUAGCAAUAAAGUUGCCAUUGCAGUGGCAGUCAUGCAUCCCCAGGCAGGUGAAUCUGUCCCCUCUCACUCGCUGCCCUGCUCUGCAUUUUCUUUAUUCCAUAGCACCUGUCACCCUUUAACACACUAUGAACUUUCUUAUUCUGUUUACUACUUAUUGUCUGUCUUCCCCACUAGGGCAUAAGCUGCAUGAGGGCAGAGAUUUUUGCUUUGCUCACUGAGCCUAGCACAUAGGAAGUGCUGGAUAAAUAUUUAUUACACGAAUGAAGAUGCCAGAGAAAAUGCUCAUCCACCAACAUUUACAAUUCAAAGAUGUGCAGAAGCUUUUGCGCAUGCUGAAUAUUCACAUUGAUUUUUUUUUUUUUUUUUUAGUCAGGUGACCUGAAUUUUCAUGUGUUUUGAAAUUCUUUCCAGAGAUGAAGCAUUUCCAUGCUGGCUGCAGUGUUGACGGUUCAUUGAGGAUAUUUCUCCUCUCAGUAAUUCCCUCCUCCACUAUGAUCAUCACUACCUUUAAGGCAGAGCCAAGAGGCUUAUGACUCCAGGAGACAAGAAAGAUCUGGAAAGAAAGGGGAUAUAAUGUGGAGGAAGAUUCUGUUCUGUAGAAAAGGAAAGGAGAAGAAGGAAAAGGAGGAGAAGAAAAAGGGGUAAAAGACGAGGAAGAAAAAUAAGGAGGAGAAGGAAGAGGAGAAUUAGAAGGACGAGGAGGAGGAGGAGGAGGAGAAAGACAAGGAGGAGGAGGAAAAAGAAGAAAUCUCUCUACCAGAAGAGCAAGGGAAUCAUUUGGAAUGAGUGUGCUCAUCUGUGACUCUGGAAGGAGACAGCCCCACGUGGCUCCCAUCUGGCAACACAGAGCAGCCGCUGCCAAGCAGGAGUGGAACUGUGUCCAACUUAAGAUGCUGACACAACAAAUUCUGAUUCUAAGUGACUUGGCCAGAUUCCCACCUACAGAUCAAGCAGGAUUUUCUGGUAAAUAAAACAUUCAUGCAUUUUUUAUUAGUGCAUGAUUCUUUUUUAUGAAAUUGUCAUUGCCAUUUUAAAGUGCAUCCUAAAUUCUAAUAUUCAGUGCAAGAUUC